GACGAACGCUGGCGGCGUGCUUAACACAUGCAAGUCGAACGGAAAGGCCCUGCUUUUGUGGGGUGCUCGAGUGGCGAACGGGUGAGUAACACGUGAGUAACCUGCCCUUGACUUUGGGAUAACUUCAGGAAACUGGGGCUAAUACCGGAUAGGAGCUCCUGCUGCAUGGUGGGGGUUGGAAAGUUUCGGCGGUUGGGGAUGGACUCGCGGCUUAUCAGCUUGUUGGUGGGGUAGUGGCUUACCAAGGCUUUGACGGGUAGCCGGCCUGAGAGGGUGACCGGCCACAUUGGGACUGCGGUACGGCCCAGACUCCUACGGGAGGCAGCAGGGGGGAAUAUUGCACAAUGGGCGGAAGCCUGAUGCAGCAACGCCGCGUGCGGGAUGACGGCCUUCGGGUUGUAAACCGCUUUCGCCUGUGACGAAGCGUGAGUGACGGUAAUGGGUAAAGAAGCACCGGCUAACUACGUG
RNAcentral lists this ribosomal RNA (468 nucleotides) under uncultured bacterium. Its description in RNAcentral is "partial 16S ribosomal RNA". It matches the Rfam family "Bacterial small subunit ribosomal RNA", at positions 28 to 507 of the family's 1533-position model. The record is from RNAcentral.